RNAcentral lists this ribosomal RNA (914 nucleotides) under Scolecobasidium icarus. Its description in RNAcentral is "LSU rRNA". It matches the Rfam family "Eukaryotic large subunit ribosomal RNA", at positions 37 to 967 of the family's 3401-position model. Lineage: Eukaryota; Fungi; Ascomycota; Dothideomycetes; Venturiales; Sympoventuriaceae. The record is from RNAcentral.
AGCAUAUCAUAGCGAGGAAAAGAACCAACCGGGAUUGCCCCAGUAACGGCGAGUGAAGCGGCAACAGCUCAAAUUUGAAAUCUGGGGCCCUUUGGGCGUCCGAGUUGUAAUUUGCAGAGGGAGUCUCGGAGGGCGCGCCGGCCCAAGUGCCUUGGAACAGGAUACCGCAGAGGGUGAGAGUCCCGUAUCCGGCCGGCGUUGCGCUCCGUGUGAGGCCCCUUCGACGAGUCGAGUUGUUUGGGAAUGCAGCUCUAAGCGGGUGGUAAAUUCCAUCUAAAGCUAAAUACUGGCCAGAGACCGAUAGCGCACAAGUAGAGUGAUCGAAAGAUGAAAAGCACUUUGAAAAGAGAGUCAAACAGUACGUGAAAUUGUUGAAGGGGAAGCGCAUGGGGGCAGACUUGAGCGCGGGGUUCAGGGUUUCCAUCUGGAGCCUGUACUUCCCCGCGGGCAGGCCAGCAUCGGUUUCGGGGGCCGGACAAAGGCGACGGGAACGUGGCUCUCUUCGGGGAGUGUUAUAGCCCGGCGCGCAAUGCGGCCACCUGGGACCGAGGACCGCGCUUCGGCAAGGAUGCUGGCGUAAUGGCCUCAUGCGGCCCGUCUUGAAACACGGACCAAGGAGUCUAACAUCUAUGCGAGUGUUUGGGUGGCAAGCCCGGGCGCGCAAUGAAAGUGAACGGAGGUGGGAGCCCUGUGACAGGGGUGCAGCAUCGACCGGUCCGGACGUCUUCCGAAGGAUCUGAGUAAGAGCAUAGCUGUUGGGACCCGAAAGAUGGUGAACUAUGCGUGAAUAGGGUGAAGCCAGAGGAAACUCUGGUGGAGGCUCGCAGCGGUUCUGACGUGCAAAUCGAUCGUCAAAUUUGCGUAUAGGGGCGAAAGACUAAUCGAACCAUCUAGUAGCUGGUUCCUGCCGAAGU